Molecule: ribosomal RNA, 821 nt
Filed under: Aschersonia marginata
Lineage: Eukaryota; Fungi; Ascomycota; Sordariomycetes; Hypocreales; Clavicipitaceae
Description: SSU rRNA
Rfam family: Eukaryotic small subunit ribosomal RNA
Source: RNAcentral
UGUAUUUAUUAGAUUCAAAGCCAAUGCCCCCCGGGGCUCACUGGUGAUUCAUGAUAACUCCUCGAAUCGCACGGCCUUGCGCUGGCGAUGGUUCAUUCAAAUUUCUUCCCUAUCAACUUUCGAUGUUUGGGUAGUGGCCAAACAUGGUGACAACGGGUAACGGAGGGUCAUCGCUCGACCCCGGAGAAGGAGCCUGAGAAACGGCUACUACAUCCAAGGAAGGCAGCAGGCGCGCAAAUUACCCAAUCCCGACGCGGGGAGGUAGUGACAAUAAAUACUGAUACAGGGCCCUUUUGGGUCUUGUAAUUGGCAUGAGUACAACUUAAAUCCCUUAACGAGGAGCAAUUGAAGGGCAAGUCUGGUGCCAGCAGCCGCGGUAAUUCCAGCUUCAAUAGCGUAUCUGCAUGAUGUUGUGGUUAAAAAGCUCGUAGUUGAACCUCGGGCCUGGUGGGCUGGUCCGCCUCACCGCGUGCACUAGUCCCACCGGGCCUUCCCCCCUGCGGAACCCCAUGCCCUUCACUGGGCGUGGCGGGGAAACAGGACGUUUACCGUGAAAAAAUUAGAGUGCUCCAGGCAGGCUUAUGCUCGAAUACAUUAGCAUGGAAUAAUGAAAUAGGACGCGCGGUUCUAUUUUGUUGGUUUCUGGGACCGCCGUAAUGAUUAAUAGGGACAGUCGGGGGCAUCAGUAUUCAAUUGUCAGAGGUGAAAUUCUUAGAUUUAUUGAAGACUAACUACUGCGAAAGCAUUUGCCAAGGAUGUUUUCAUUAAUCAGGAACGAAAGUUAGGGGAUCGAAGACGAUCAGAUGCCGUCGUAGUCUUAA